AUGGCCGGAGGGACCAGGCGGGUGUCCACCUCGAGGCCAGUUUUCGUCGGUAGACAGGAAGAGCCGCCACAGAGGGUCAUGCAGACUGCAGUAGUCGGCCAGAGGGGUUUUCUAUCCUACGAGUUCAUGUUCCAGAGGAACCCAGGGCAUUCAUGGGUCACCAUUUAUUUUUCAGAAAUAGAGGAUCUGGCGCCAACAGAAAUCCGAAACUUCACGGUAGAGGUUUCAGAUUGGCCAGAAUACAACGGUCUGACGGUUGAUGUGGCAGCGGAGGCUGGAGGUAAAUACCGUCUCUAUGAGCUAAGGUGUAUCAACGUAUCAGUUCAUCAUCUUCUCUUUAUGGAGUUGAGUAAGAGGAGUGAAUUUUCCAAAGGCCCUAUCAUCAAUGCUAUUGAGAUAUACAACUAUCUACCAAUUGCUGCAGGUAAGCAAUCGUCCUUUUCUAUACUAGUGUACAGUACCAAUUUUGAAUUGCAUCUUCAAACUCAUUACAAUGCUUAG
RNAcentral lists this ribosomal RNA (501 nucleotides) under Triticum aestivum (bread wheat). RNAcentral describes it as "partial small subunit ribosomal RNA". The record is from RNAcentral. Lineage: Eukaryota; Viridiplantae; Streptophyta; Magnoliopsida; Poales; Poaceae.